This 203-nucleotide long non-coding RNA is filed under the name Phoenix dactylifera (date palm). RNAcentral's name for it is "long non-coding RNA (PDAC_LNC014513)". Lineage: Eukaryota; Viridiplantae; Streptophyta; Magnoliopsida; Arecales; Arecaceae. The record is from RNAcentral.
CAUAGUUAGGACCGGUCAACUUGUUGGCAUCUAGGAUGCCUCUUAGUGAUAGUGAAGAUGCCAUUAAUGAUUCUACAUAAGUAAGAACAAAACUAACAUAAGCAGACCAAUCAUGAUGACACAUAUGCAAUUAGACUAGGACUUUAUCUAAUUGUUGCUCCUACUAUUUUUAUCGAAUAUCAUAGCCCUCUCCUAUGAUAAAC